UUGGGAAUGUUUAUUCUGUGUGUGAGCAGGUUGCAUUUCAAACGUUUUAUAGGCAUGAUGGGUACUUGUUUAGAGAGAACAAGUUUUGUGUGCCUAAUUGUUCUAUGCAUGACAUACUUGUGCGUGAAUCACAAUGUGGGAGUUUGAUGAGUCAUUUUGGGAUGUAAAAAACAUGACAUACUUUGUGAACAUUUUUAUUGGCCUAAUAUGAGAAAAGAUGUUGAGAAAAUCUGCUCUAAAUGUGUUGCGUGUAGACAAGCAAAAUAAAAAAUCUAUCCACAUGGUUUAUACACACCUUUGCUUAUGCCUAAGCAUUCUUGGAUUGACAUAUCUAUGGAAUUUGUUUUAGAGCUGUCUAAGACCAAAAGAGUAGGGAUAGUAUAUUUAUGGUUGUUGAUAGAUUUAGUAAAAUGACACUUCAUUGCAUGUCAUGAUAUGGUAAUACCACAAAUAUUGCUGAUUUGUUCUUCAAGGAUGUUGUGCAUUUGCAUGGUGUUCCUAGGACAAUUGAUUCUGACCAUGAUGUAAAGUUCUUAAGUCAUUUUUGGCGUAUGCUUUGGGAAAAGUUAGAUACUAAACUUUUAUUUUCUACUACAUAUCAUCCUCAAACAGAUGACCAAACAGAGAGAAAUGAAGCAUACGCACAAAGAGUUAAUUAGGGGCGCAAGUUGAAGAGAUUUGAACCUAGAGAUUGUGUUUAGGUGCAUUUCAGGAAGGAGAGGUUUCCUAAGAAAAGGAAAUCAAAGUUGGAUCCUAGAGGCAAUGGGCCAUUUCAAGUGCUUGAAAGGAUUAAUAAUAAUACCUCUAGGAUUGAUUUACUAAGUGAGUAUCAAGUGUCUACUAUAUUUAAUGUUGCUAAUCUCUCUCCAUCUGAUAAUGUAGGGGCUGAUUAGAGAACGAAUCCUUUUGAGGAGGGAAUGAUACAACCAGUCUUGGUAAGAAGAUUCAACACCACAUUAUUCAACAAGACAAGCUUUCAAUGCCUAGUGGAUCUCUCUCCAUUUGACAAUGUAGGGGCUGAUUAAAGGACGAAUCCUUUUGAGGAGGGAGGGAAUGAUACAACCAGUCUUGGUAAGGAGAUUGAACACCACAUUACUCAACAAGACAAGCUUUCAGUGCCUAGUGGAUCUCUCUCCAUUUGAUAAUGUAGGGGUUGAUUAGAGGACGAAUCCUUUAGAGGAGGGAGGAAAUGAUACAACCAAUCUUUGUAAGGAGAUUCAACACCACAUUACUCAAUGCCUAGUGGACCAAUUACAAGAUAGUAAGCUUCAAAGCUCAAGCAAGCUAUGCAAAGAUUUGUUCAAGGCUUAAUUACAUCUCAAAUUCAUGAUGAGGUCGAGACAAACAUAGAGGAACACCAAGGCAUGCCAAAGCUUGUGAUUUUACUAAAGGAGACGUGUGGAGAGGCUAGUGCUUAGCCAACUUUUGAAGACAAGCUCAAUAUCUCGUAUAAAGGGGCUGAUUGUAUCAUUUGGACUUGUAACUAAGUUGCUUUUAUUUAUUUUAGCUUGAACUUGUUUUAUGGACUGUUUGUAUUAAGUCCAUUGUUAAAAGCAAAAGCUUUGUUUGGAAACACCUUUAAUUUUACUUUUAUUGUCAUAAUAUUAUGUAAUCAUCCAAACAUGCCCCUUAUUUAGAAAUUAGGUCAUCUUAUUCCCCUUAUUUAUCUAUAAAUAGAAUGAGAUGAGGCUGUAUGAGGACUUUUGAAUCUUUGAUGAACAAAUUUCCAGAUUUGGAUUUCUUCAAGUAAGGUGUGAAUUCCUUCUUGGUUACUUCAAAAAAUUGAUUUACUUCAAAAAAUUGAUUUGCAGCAAGUACUUGCAACGUGAAUUGAUUUCUAUUUUCUUUGAGAUUUUCUCAAUUACGUAUAAUUGGGAUUUGAUCUAACAUAUUAUUGAGAUAGAAAGUUGGGUAAUAAGCCAAUAGAUUGGGGGUUCAAGAACUCAGUUUUCUUAGGGUUUCCUUAUCAGAUGGGUUUUGUUAUUUUGUUAGUUUUCUUCGUAAAUAUGGUUAGUUUUGAGUAUAUUUCUUUGAUUUUAGAGAUUGAAAUGUAAUAUUUUGAACAAAUUGUGAUUGGGGGCUGAUUUAUUCAUAUCUAUAUAAUUUCUAAGCUUUGAUUCAUUUCCUUGCGUGCUUCUUUUACUUGCCCAAUGUCGGUACCUAUAAGGCAUUGUUUUUAAUCUUUGAUUGAAGGACCGAGAGGUGAAAAUCAUUGAUAGAUGAUCUUGGAUUUGGACUUGGAUACCUAGAUUUAGAGAUAAACUAGGAUUUAAGAGUAUUAAUAGGCUUUUAAAUAUGAUUACUGAGUUUCAGUUUAAUUAAAUACCAUGAAAAUGGGUUUUGUUAGGUUAAACAUGUUAGUUGUCUUGAGAAAAAAAACUAAUUUAAAUUAUAGUUUUGCCUCCCAAGAUAUAAAAUCGCUUUCCCACAUUUUAUACUUUAUUUUAGUCUAUUUUUCAUAGAUUUUAAUAUACUUUUACUUGCUUAUUUUAAUUAAUUAAUUUACUUGCAUUUAGUUACUUAUUAACUCAUCUUUAGCAUACUUGGAUUUAUUUUUAUCGCUAUAGUUAAAUUGUACUUAAAUAUUACAUUGUCAUUAGCUUUGACGGUGCUUCACCCAUAGUUUGGUACUUAAAACCUAAAUUUCUAGUGAAAAUGAUACUUACCGACUCCUUAUUACUUGAACAACCUAUGCUCCUUAUUACUUCAACAACCUAUGCACUUGCAAUGAGUAGGGGUGAACAGUAUUUGGUUCAAAUCGAAAAAACUGAUCGAACCGAAUUAAUUUGAAAAUUCAAUUUGAUUUUUUAUUCAUUUCAGUUUGAUUCGAUUUUAAAUUUCAAAAAUUUCAGUUAUUUCAAUUCAGUUCGUUUUUUGUUAGAAAAAUCGAAAAAAGAGAACCAAACCGAUUAGUAAUAAUAGUAUACUGUUUUCAAUAAUAUAAAGAGAUUAGAUCAUAUCAAGAUUAAAAUAUUUCAAUUAAAUUUUAAAA
Molecule: long non-coding RNA, 2992 nt
Filed under: Manihot esculenta (cassava)
Lineage: Eukaryota; Viridiplantae; Streptophyta; Magnoliopsida; Malpighiales; Euphorbiaceae
Description: long non-coding RNA (MESC_LNC001196)
Source: RNAcentral